This 825-nucleotide long non-coding RNA is filed under the name Mus caroli (Ryukyu mouse). RNAcentral describes it as "lncRNA (MGP_CAROLIEiJ_G0005991.1)". Lineage: Eukaryota; Metazoa; Chordata; Mammalia; Rodentia; Muridae. The record is from RNAcentral.
GUUGCAAAGGCAGAGAGUGAGAAGUGAUGACGGUGAUCGUUGUCGCCGCGUCUUCUGUGGAACCCAAGCAGUGCCGAAGGAAGUCGCAAGGCUCUUCCCCGACCAUUUGCUCCUCUCCCUGCGCGAGCCUCAGCUUACAAUGUAGCCCAAGCUGGCCUUGGAUGUGUGGCAGUUGUACCUCUACCUACUGAGCACUGAGAUUAUAGAGAUCUAGGCUUACAUUGCUAUUAAGCCUCCAACAGCGGCAGCCAGAUGGUGCAGUGUUUUUGAAACAGGCUUUGAUAAAUCCACAAAGGAGCCACUUGAGGUUGCAUCAAGUAACCAAUGAGAACUAACCAGGACAACGACCAACAGAAAUGCCCUUUUGCCAACUGACAAAUGGUGCUGUUUAGUACAGUCGUCUCGUCAGACCUCUCAGAUCCAGGCCUCUGAGUUGGUCCACCUCAGUAUCUACCUCACCUAUGAACUGCUGGAGCAUGUGAAGGGGCCAGUCCUACAGAUCCAAAGCUGCAGGAUCUCCAUGACACAGGGCAACCGGAUCUCCAAGAAGAGUCCUGAUAAGGACCUAGUAUUAAUGGUAUAACAGAAGCCAGAGGCCUUAAAGCACACCAAUGAAUAAUUGCAAUGAACAUUUGCAGGUAAAGAAGUGUGGACAAAGGGUGUACUGUGGGACAUACUGUGACACACUGUGAUACACUACAGCUUCGUUUAUUUUUAUUUUUUAUUUUCUUUGGGGUGGAGAUUGCAAGGGUGGAGAACAGGAGACAGGGAGAUGAAUGGAAUUGGGGUAUGUGAUGUAAAAUUCACAAAGAGUCAAUAAAAAGU